Molecule: long non-coding RNA, 798 nt
Organism: Phacochoerus africanus (Common warthog)
Lineage: Eukaryota; Metazoa; Chordata; Mammalia; Artiodactyla; Suidae
Exons: 3
Source: RefSeq, a predicted model, not a curated record
UGCUAGUCAGGUUUGUUAACCGCUGAGCCACGAAAGGAACUCCAAGUCCCUCUGGUGUUGGUGCUUUGGCGACGUUGGGAUUCACCUGCCAUCCCCACUCUGAUCACUUUAUCUCGGCUUUCCUUUUCCCAGUCCUCAGGGCCAAGAGCGCCUUGAGUGGGCCUGACCCUCUGGUCCGCAGUCCCCGUAGGGAUCCACUCAGGCUUCCCUCCCCUCCUCCACCCAGUUUCCAGAAUCCCACACCACUCAGGUGUGAUGCUUCUCCUGGAGAAAGCGUUUUUUCGACAGUGAAGCUUCUUUCCUUAGGGGGUGUUCCCAGAGGCAGAAUCCCCACCUGUGCAAGGUGGGUCCCCAUGUCACCGGUGCUGCUUGGUCACCUGUGCAGAAUGUUCUUCUCUGUGCUAAUGAGGAGGACAGCCACACCGAGUUCUCCAAGAGCCAGCGGGAAUGGCCCUGCCUCCAGGUCUUGAAAGUGAAGAAAGCAUUUGCCAUCAUCUGAGACAGAGGAUUGCUCAGGACUUGCAAAUGCGGGUGCCAGGAAACAGGUGAGAGAGGACUACCUGAGGGAGAUGGACCUGGUCUAAGAAACAACCUGUCGGGGAGACAUUAGGGAGAGGUGAAGACUGUGGCAAACUGGAGAGCACAUGCCCUCCGAAGGGGGCAACUCACGUCAGGUAGCAGCAGGGCCCAGAGUUGCCAGGACUUAAAAUCCCGAAGAUACACCAGAAACCUGGAUGUUCACGGCUACAAGAGAAGAGGCUUUGGAGGCCUCACCAACAGCAAGUGGAAGUUCCUGGG